RNAcentral lists this ribosomal RNA (557 nucleotides) under Fusarium sp. CBG_T11CCH. RNAcentral describes it as "eukaryotic LSU rRNA". It matches the Rfam family "Eukaryotic large subunit ribosomal RNA", at positions 69 to 649 of the family's 3401-position model. Lineage: Eukaryota; Fungi; Ascomycota; Sordariomycetes; Hypocreales; Nectriaceae. The record is from RNAcentral.
CAGGGAUUGCCCUAGUAACGGCGAGUGAAGCGGCAACAGCUCAAAUUUGAAAUCUGGCUCUCGGGCCCGAGUUGUAAUUUGUAGAGGAUGCUUUUGAUGCGGUGCCUUCCGAGUUCCCUGGAACGGGACGCCAUAGAGGGUGAGAGCCCCGUCUGGUUGGAUGCCAAAUCUCUGUAAAGCUCCUUCGACGAGUCGAGUAGUUUGGGAAUGCUGCUCUAAAUGGGAGGUAUAUGUCUUCUAAAGCUAAAUACCGGCCAGAGACCGAUAGCGCACAAGUAGAGUGAUCGAAAGAUGAAAAGCACUUUGAAAAGAGAGUUAAAAAGUACGUGAAAUUGUUGAAAGGGAAGCGUUUAUGACCAGACUUGGGCUUGGAUAAUCAUCUGGGGUUCUCCCCAGUGCACUUUUCCAGUCCAGGCCAGCAUCAGUUUUCGCCGGGGGAUAAAGGCUUCGGAAUUGUGGCUCCCUCCGGGGAGUGUUAUAGCCCGUUGCGUAAUACCCUGGCGGGGACUGAGGUUCGCGCAUCUGCAAGGGGGGGGGAAUAACCCCCCUCAACGACC